UUUAAGAAAGGUCUGUCUCCCCUUCGGCUCCCCGUUGGGGAGUGGUCUGGAGUGGAGCUGCACGCCUGAAGCUUGUUGGAUCAUCAGUCAAGAGAGGAUUUAAGGAGCCAUCGGACCUCUCCUCUCUGCCGGAUGAUUAUCCCUCCACGGAUCUGGUCAGUUCCCAUCGGCGACUCUGCCUGCAGCUCUCAGAGCCUCACCUGCCUGCCCGCUCCAGCCCACUGCUCGUUGCCCCCUCCCCCGUCGGAAAGCCUUUCAAGAAGACGCGUGACUCGGACCUAGACCCACCGAUCACCUGCAGAACCUUUUGAUUGUUCUUUUCUAAUAAAAAUAGUAACUCACCAGUAGUUUCCGG
Molecule: long non-coding RNA, 355 nt
Organism: Poecilia reticulata (guppy)
Lineage: Eukaryota; Metazoa; Chordata; Actinopteri; Cyprinodontiformes; Poeciliidae
Source: RefSeq, a predicted model, not a curated record